Non-coding RNA from Pangasianodon hypophthalmus (striped catfish), 387 nucleotides. NCBI's taxonomy places the organism in Eukaryota, Metazoa, Chordata, Actinopteri, Siluriformes, Pangasiidae. The record is from the annotation of a RefSeq genome assembly.
AUGUUACUCCUCUUCUUGCUUUUCUUCACUAUUGCUGAUAUCGCAGAGGCUGCAGACAACAGCAUUAAACCAGAAAAACCCUCCAGAUCUGUAACUGAAGGCAGCAACAUCACACUGUCCUGCACAUAUACUGGAUCAGUUUACAGUCUCCACUGGUAUCAACAAAAACCUGGAUCAAGACCAGAGUUUCUGCUGCUGAUUCUUGAAGCUACAGAAACUGUCACUAAAGCUGAACACCUUGACCCAAGACUAUCCACCAGACUCCAUAAAAAGGAAAAGAAAGUAGAUCUGGAGAUCUUUCCUGCUGCAGUAUCAGACUCUGCACUGUACUACUGCGCCCUGCAGCCCACAGUGACACAAAACUCAAACACACUGUACAAAAAGUGA